This is a long non-coding RNA of Nelumbo nucifera (sacred lotus), 757 nucleotides long. RefSeq lists it as uncharacterized. The record is from RefSeq and is a predicted model, not a curated record. NCBI's taxonomy places the organism in Eukaryota, Viridiplantae, Streptophyta, Magnoliopsida, Proteales, Nelumbonaceae.
UGGUCUAGCAAAACCGACCCGUUGACAGCCCCAAAUGAGGGGUUUAUUUGAUUGAAAAUCCCCUCCCGCUCUUCAUCUCUAAAGUCUUCUCUCCCUUUCCCGCUCUUCGUGACUUUUCGCUUUUGCUCACUCUCUCCCCCUACUCUCACUACUAUCUCACUCUGAGGCUCACUACUUUAUCUCUCUCCCUAGUCGCAACCUCUCAUCUCUCUCUCUAGAUCUCUUGCCACCGAAGUCACGAUCUCUGCCUCUGCCCCGGGUUUAUUAGUUCAAGUACAGAAAUUUAUUGAAUCACUAAAUGAAACUCUCCUAUCUCAUGGGGGAUUUGGUGUUUCUAUUGGUUUCUUAGAACCCUACUUUUUCUUCCCAAUUUCAGUCAUGUCCUCAUUGUCGCACUCAUUUCUUACAAUCGACACUUGUGGACCUGUUGACAUUGAUGAUCCACGACUUGGACUUGUCCAGAUUGAAGAACUUCCCUUAGGAGAGCUGCUUGAUAUCAUCUCUCGAGUAUUAUUUAAAUGGCAUAUGGUAUAAAAGGGUUUUGUUAGAUAAUGGGCUCACUGUGAUGGUUUUCAUAAUUCAAACGAGCGGCUCAAAGUAUGGUUGGAGACAAUGGAUAUUUCUUUUAUAUUUAGAAUUUUUUAUUUGAAGGUCAUCUCGACUUUAAUAUGUAUUGAGAAAAAUUUGACAUUUGUAAUACAUUAUGGAUAUAUUUUUUUUGGUAACACAAUGGAUGUAUCAAAUUAUACAUGGCAUG